GAGGCGCGCGCACCGGGUGGAGCGCCAGGGAGGGCUUCGCCGCCGUCUCCCUCCCUCCGCGGCUUGACCCGGUAGUGAAGGCGGAGAGAGAGAGGCAGGCCCCGGGCCGCCCCGCAGCCUGCGGGAGGAGGCGGGAGCCGGGAAGGAGGGGAGCCGAGGCCCCGCGUGGGGAGGCCGGCGAGAAGGGCCCGGAGCCCAGGCUGGACCUGCCUGCCUUCAGCUUCCCUGUGAGCCCGGCUGCUCGCCCUCAGGACACCUCGACUGGUUCACACCCCAGAACGGAUGAAGCAGAAAUCCAGGGACCCGAUGGCAAGCCCGGCGCCUGGUGGCCCAUCUGCGGCGGCGCCUGCCUGCUGGGGCUCCAUCCCGCCACCGGAAAGCUGGAGUUCCAGGUUCUAGCAUGGGACUGCAGAGGGCCUGGCAGCCAGAGCUCGACUUCCCUGUUGUCUCGCUUCACUUUUACAGUCUUACAUUCCUAGCAAAGUUCUCAGAAGUCCCCCUCCGAGGAGGGAAAGUUAGAGGAAGGAAUCUGGUUGUCCUGGCAGCAGGAAGAAGGUGAAGCAGCGGCUGCAGACCAAGGCCACGAGUCCCCUGGGAAAGAAACUGAAGAGGGUGGAGCGGGGCAGGAUAAACAGCAACUGCCCAGGCUGAAAAGUGGCCAGGGUCGAUGAGGGGAGCGGUUGAAAAGAUGACUGGAGUGAGAACCGAGCCGUAGAAAUGGGAGGUUUAACCUGGACAGGAGUCAAGCUUGUACCUGGGGACUAAGCCUUAAUAUAAUCUUCGGACAAGCACCCCCCACUACAGAAAAGGCAAGAGAGCUCUUGGUGGGACAUGAACUCAGCUCACUGUACCCCAUCUAUCUCCUUUCCUUUCUCCAAAUUUACAGCCAGGGAGAAAUCUAAACAAGGCACAGAGCACAAGAGCUGCUGACUUCCCCUGUGAAACCUUGAGUGAUCUUCUUAAGUUCCUGUAGCUUAAAUUCCAUUUGCUUAACUUUGAAAUAAUAUGUUUCAGACAAAGAAAAAAAAUACAGUCAUUCACCCACUCAUCUUUGUAAAUCAGAGCAUGGAAAUCAGCAGCAGUUAAGAUGUCUGGGAUGGAGUGUGGGAGGAAAGCCGUACAGCUUAAAAGGCUUAGACGACCCAAACAGAAACGCGGGGCUUGGAAUCCAGGCUCUGCUGCUUCUCAGGAGUGCAGUAUUUAGCUAACUGUUCGACCUUUCUCGGUUUGCUUCUUUUUAAAUAUGAUUAACAAUCUUAAUUGGGGCAUGAUGCAGUGAGGAGAAAAUCAGGAGAAGCAUGUGCAGCGCUUGCCUGGCUCAGCUUGCUGGACUGUGAAUAGCCAUUUCCUGACUCUUUCCUUCACUCACUUUUUUUUUUUUCCUGGUGGAGAGGACAGCAGAUUGCAUCAGAAUUGAAGAUCUUUAAAAAGGAUAAAUCUGAUUAAUGUGGUGUCUUUUUCCACUUGAGAAAGUGCAUCUCCAGUCUUCUCACUAUCUGCCUUCAGUUACCUUUUUAAGCUUAAAAAAGGCACAGCAGAGAAGCAAACAGCAGUGCCGCUGAUGGGGACAGUGGUAGUGUCUUCCUUUUGGAUGAAAGCAUCAACCACCAGAGUGAAGCUGCUGACUCCAUGUAGAACCAUUUGGCUACCAUUGUAGACAACUUACUUAUUCAUAAGAGAUAAGGAGUUUUGUUCAAUAGCAUAGUAGGCUCUUCUUUUAAAAGCAACAUAAAUUAUAAUUGGAAAUGGACCAAAAUACAAGACAUUUAAUGGAACACACACACGUGAUCUGGAGCAAUCUUAAUUGGACUUGAUCUCAUGAAAAAAUUGUCUGAAAGGCAGCUGAAUUCCAACUGAAAAAUCUCCAGAGAGAGAAUUCUGAUCCUGAAGAAACUGCUGUUGGAGAAAUAUAAGCAAGGAGUGGAGCCAAGGUUUGCCUGAGGAGCCCUGCAGAGAAUGGAAAUUCUACAAAGGAUAGAUGGUCAGUUUUGAGUCCCACUGAAUGAGGCCGCACUAAUAGAUGGAAGUGGGCACACAAGCCCCAGGACCCCAAAUCCUUCAGGUGCUCUCCGUCUUCUUCCACCAUCCUGGAGCCUGGUGCAGUCCAAAACAAGCUCCCAGUGGAGACUCAAGAAGGGACUCAUCUUGAUGUUAUGCAAGCAUGAAGACAAAGUCUAGAAAAAGGAAGAAGCAUAAGAGGGACCCAGAUUCUCUCCCUCCACUCUUCAUGUUUUGAAGAUAAUUAUUAUAAAGUUAAUUUGCAGAGAUGGACUUCUUUUUCCUGACUAUAAAUGCAUCACAGUUCAAUCCAUGCCCGUUAAACCCCUAAGCAGUCCAUUUAAGUGAAUUUGAAGGACUCAUAGAAACCUAAUGCUGCCCAUAAAAUUGCAGAAAAAAAAAUUUAGAGUGCUUUUUUGUUGUUGUGGUAGAGUUGACCAUUUUUAAUUUCCAGACUUUGGAGUAGAUAUAAAUGCUUCAACUCCCAUCACUUUCUCAUAUACAAAUGUAUAAAUACUCCAUUAAUAUGGUAUAGUGACUCAUUUAUUUUAAACAACAUGAUGAGAGAUUAGAUUUUUGUGUGACUCUUUUCUAGACGACAAAAUAUCCCAGUGAAGACAGAUUUUAUAGAGCCAAGCCUUGUCUGUCUAUCCUCUUCCAGAUUAUUAAGAGCCAUUAUUGUCCAGGAGAAGCAAUAUAACUGUUCCACCAAUGAGUAACUUAUGUCCCUAGAUUGCAUUCUUUAUUCAGGGCCAUUGCUGAUGCACAUUUUUUUUCUGUUGAAAAUGGUCACUUUAAACAUCACAAAUCUAUGCCCAGAAUACUCUUCCUCAGCCAUCCUUUAAAUUGAAAGAUAAAAAGUCAGUGAUUCAAAGCAGUUCUCAAAAAGAAGGGAAAACUGUUUCUAAAGACUAUUAAUUGUAAGAGGGCUUUGCAUACUCACCUCUCAGGUGUGAGCAGCAGCUUCCCAUAUCUAGUACAGACAUCAUGUUUUGAUGGCCAAAAUUUGAAUAGCCAUUAUUUCCUGAGAUGAAUUUACUUUUAAUGGCAGUUAGGAACAUUGCCUUCUUAGGUUUUAUUAUUUUCUCUAUACUCGCUGUCACCAGACACUGGGAUAAUUUAGCAUCCCAUUAAACAAUAUGAACAGAGGGUUUGGGAAAAUUAGUGCAUGAAAACAUACAAUGUGGUGUCAACUGUAGGCAAUGUUGAUCAUUUGUGUUUAUUUGGAUUCAUCUGUCCAUGUACAUUUGGCCUAUGAAGCCAACGGUUGCUCUGUAGAGGCUCUACUCAUAUUGCUGCUGUCACAGUUCACGGUUAUCUUGCCUCGUGUCCAUUCUAUCUCUUUCCACCUUUGUAAGGAUUUCAUGUUGAUGGUGGAGCAUGACCUCUCACACUAUCGUCAUGGUUCUCUUUAUCAUGUGCAACCAUGAUACACAGGGCAAUUAAUUUUCAGUGCACUGAAGUGUUGGUUAAGGGGAGACAGGGCAAUUAGUCUGAUUUUCUCAGUUUCUUUAAUAUGAUGAUAAAUGGAUGGAAAGUACACACACAUACAAACACACACACACACACACACACACACACACACACACACACACACACCAAGUCAAUAAGUAUUGGCCAAUAUUACAGCAAUCCUAUAAUGGCUUGUUUCCUCUUUUCCUCCCUAGUUUCCUGACACCUAAAUGAAUAGGAGUUAACCAACUAAUUAAACAGUGCUACAGAAGUCUUUGCCCUCAGGAUUCUUCUCUGAAGACUCUGAAGGUAUCCCCAUUACUUUCUUUACCCACCACCACCCAUGCUCAACCACUCCUUCCUCCCAAUGCUACCCCUCCUACAUUGAUGUCUUUGUGUGUGUAUACAGCUCUUGUGCAGAUAGCCACAGCUACUGUACAAUUACAUAAUUAUAUCACCCAUGCCACAGCCGAAAGUCAGCACAUAUAGUACUCCUUCCCAUCACUUAGCUCUUACAGUCUUUCUACACCCUUUGCCCUGGUGGUCUCUGGGCCUCGAAGGUGAAGAUAGUGAUAACAUACUUAGGAUCUAACACCAAAUAAUAACUUAUUUUUGAUGUUUUGACUAUUUUGACUGUCUCUAUUAGCCUUUACCCAUUUAAAAAGAAGCUUCUCUGGCCAAGGUUGAGAGCAAUCUAAAGACAUGAACAUUUUCAGAAGGUAGUUUGGCAAUGUGUCCUUUUUCAUAAAAUCAUUAGUAGUACCCCCUUAGGGCCUGUGACUUCCUCUGCUAUAGAUUUUUUUUUUUUGCCAGAUUUCCAGUACCGGGUAUUUAUUCCUUCCAAUGAAGGUCUCAAAUCCAAUUAGAAAAUAUUUAGCUACUGUCAAAACAAUCAGGCACUAUGGGCCCCAUGGCCAGAGCUUGCCUAAGGGUAAAGCUCUGAAGGGUAAAGACAGAAUUUAUUUGAAACCACCAUGCCGUUGCUUAUCUUAGCCACAAAAUAAUAACACUGAUGUAAUCUAAGGCAAGUGUGUCUCAAUAUAACUCUUCUCUUAAUUUUCCAAAUACCUCCUUUCAUUGUCUGUAGUCAAUGGCAGGAGUCAUGUCUCAGAACAUCCUGAUGAUGGUUGUGUAAUUUGAUUCUAUAAGGAAAUAACCCAUGCACCAUAGGAAUUUACAGACCUGGCUAAUAGCUAACAAUGGAACUCAAGAAGAAAAUGAGAAUAAAAGUGCUUAAAGGUCAAAAUACAGAGGUGAAAUAUAAGAUGAAUAUGAGAAAACUGACUGACUGGGGGAACUCAUUUGUGCCUCAUUAUUAGAUGAUCUGGAAAUGACACUAAAUUCUUUCUCUCAUCCUGCUUUGUUGAGGUAAGUCCUUAGAGCUGGAAUAUAACAAAUUCAAUGAAAAAUCUCUGACUCCUCAAAAUGGUAUCAAGAAAGAAGUCAAGAGUAUCAGAAAGAUUGUAAUGUCAAAAUGAACUUAAUGUGUAAGAUUUAAGCACUCACAACCUGAUACAGACAUGUAAUAGAAAACCGAAACCAACAAGCUAAACAACAACUAAUAAAAGAAAGAAAAAGAGAGAGACUAACAAGGCAAGGGGAAAGGCAAGAAGGAAAGGAAGGCAGCAGAGGAGCCACAUGUGUGCUCUAGGAGGAACUGAGGAGUAGUCCACUGAUUUAAGAAGCUUGGGUCACUCUGGGUGUGCCUUAUGGGCUGCGGGUGAUGAUAAAGUUAUUCCUAUCAAGUUAGGCUUCUUACUAUCAAUAGAUGAUGGUAUAGUUGAAAGCAGAUGAAGCCAAGACAAUGACACAAAGCAAGCAAUUAUAGACUUGGUAUCAAGUUGUCUUGACCUUCAAGAAUCUCUGACUAUAGCUAGUAGGACCUGCUAUUCUCAGACAUGGGGUAGAUGUGAAUCUGACCAAGAAGAGGAAAGAGAGAAAGAUGAGAAGCACAGAAAUGUGUUACAAACUGCACAUAUAAGAAAAUAUAAUUCUCAAUUCAAUCUCCACACAUCACAUCUCAAAAUCCAUAUCAUUGUCACCUUGACAAAUGUCACAUGAAGUAUAUCCCCCUGAUUGUUUUUCACAAAGACCUGAGUAACUAAACACUGGAGAAUGAAAAAACACAGACAUUUCUAGGACAGUUUAGAUGAAACAUACUAGUGUCAUGGGAUUCCAAACAUCAUCAUGGCUCUCUAGUUAAAAGAGAGGAUAGGUACAGUGUGGCCCAAGUCCAUCUCACAUUACAUCCAAGUGUAUUAAUAAUCUGCCUGUGGUUAUUUUUUGGUUCCCAUGUGAAUGAUUGAAAAAGAAAUAGUUAUCAGCAGGGAGAACCCACAUGUUAUGUAUGGACCGAGGAAUAAAAGCCAUUAAGGAAUCAAGAGCCAAGUGGAAGAUGCAGAAAUCACACUCCUGACUUGAGGAAAUUAUAAAUCAGACACAAGUCUGUAUCAUAAAAUAUGAUAAUUAGUGCCAUUAGUAGCAUCAAAUAUUCAAAGGAUGUAGAGUUGUUGGUCAACAUUACAUUCCCAUUCAAUUCACUAAGUUUGACUCUGUAAAAUGUAUUAUAUUAUAUAGCCAAUUAUAGUACAUUAGUGUGAAUUUGUUGAAGAGGCAGUUCUAGCCACAGAUUCACAGCUACUGUCUGUUACCAUCUGCUACAAAAGCUGUUAUUGGGGUAAUCACUUUGUUAAAUACCAGUGGAUUAGUAGACGUUGGCCUUUCCUAUGGGAGUACUGACCUUGCAGGUACUCUCUUUACCUAAUUCUUAUCAAUAACGAGGGCUUAGUUUAGCUUUAUUCAUAAGAUGGAAUCUGAAGUACUCAUGACUCUUCAAGGAUGUGCUAACGGAACUGUUCUUUGUUGUGGCAGAGGGUAUAAACAAGCUGAUCAUUAUGACAAUCCAUAGACUAUAAAAGUACACCAGUAGUCAUGUUAGUUGACUAUAUGAACAGGAAAUGGGAAUUAUAGUAAAUAUUUUAGUGCAACAAGUAUCAGAAGUUUGGUGAUAAACCUCAUCACUUCAAGAGCAUCCAGACCUUUGGAAUGCCAAGCCUCAGGUGUUCAACCCUUUGAAUUUUGAGAUUCAGUAUAACUAAUGAAUAUAGGGAGUGCUGUAGUGAAAAAGUUACUGUGAGUCUCCAAGAAGUUCCUUGGGUUUCUGAGGAAGAGAUUAAAUCUCUGUAAAAGAAAAGUCUCAUUUGAACAAACAGUUCUGCCAUGACAUGUAGUCCUGCACGCUGGUGACUGACCAUAGCAUGCUAAGUGGCUGUGCCUCUGCAUUUCCUUCCUGUGUUGUGUUUUCAGAGCCAUUGUUCCAUACUUAAAUCAUGAGCUGUUUCAUCCCACAGCUGCCACACCAGGGAGAAGAAACAAAAGACUCACAUAUUGAGAAGGAAAGUUCUGAGCCUCUAUUGCUUAAGCAAGCCAUUCAGACCAUCUCAAGAUCAUCACUUAUCCGUUUAAAAACCUACCCUUCAACAAAUGCUGAGUCUCUCUCUCUCUCCCCCCAUCUCUCUCUCCCUAUCUCUCAUGCUCUAAUAUACAAAACUGAGUUGAAUAUUUGGCAUGUAUUUUCAGUAUAUAUUUUUCAAUAUAUAAUAUUUCAAUACAUAAUAUGUUUAAAUUUCCUUUUCUUUCUAUAAAAUUAUUUUUCCUUGCAUGCUCAUCUAAUUCCCAUUUACACACACACACACACACACACACACACACACACACACACACACACACACACACAUAUGGAGCUACACUCUGAUAUUUACUGUAUGUGCUUUCCUUUGACUGUUAAUAAUUUCUC
Long non-coding RNA from Peromyscus maniculatus bairdii (prairie deer mouse), 7246 nucleotides. RefSeq lists it as uncharacterized. The record is from RefSeq and is a predicted model, not a curated record. NCBI's taxonomy places the organism in Eukaryota, Metazoa, Chordata, Mammalia, Rodentia, Cricetidae.